AGGCUUGUAGUUCAAUUGGAAGAGCAUCACUCUGAUAAGGUGAAAGUUGGUGGUUCAAGUCCAUCCAAGCCUA
RNAcentral lists this transfer RNA (73 nucleotides) under Candidatus Peregrinibacteria bacterium. RNAcentral describes it as "tRNA-Ile". It matches the Rfam family "tRNA". Rfam says of the family: Transfer RNA (tRNA) molecules are approximately 80 nucleotides in length. Their secondary structure includes four short double-helical elements and three loops (D, anti-codon, and T loops). The record is from RNAcentral. Lineage: Bacteria; Candidatus Peregrinibacteriota.